RNAcentral lists this transfer RNA (68 nucleotides) under Achromobacter sp. Root565. RNAcentral describes it as "tRNA-Gly". It matches the Rfam family "tRNA". From Rfam's summary of the family: Transfer RNA (tRNA) molecules are approximately 80 nucleotides in length. Their secondary structure includes four short double-helical elements and three loops (D, anti-codon, and T loops). Further hydrogen bonds mediate the characteristic L-shaped molecular structure. tRNAs have two regions of fundamental functional importance: the anti-codon, which is responsible for specific mRNA codon recognition, and the 3' end, to which the tRNAs corresponding amino acid is attached (by aminoacyl-tRNA synthetases). tRNAs cope with the degeneracy of the genetic code in two manners: having more than one tRNA (with a specific anti-codon) for a particular amino acid; and 'wobble' base-pairing, i.e. permitting non-standard base-pairing at the 3rd anti-codon position. Lineage: Bacteria; Pseudomonadati; Pseudomonadota; Betaproteobacteria; Burkholderiales; Alcaligenaceae. The record is from RNAcentral.
GCGUUAGGUGGGUUUCCCACGGGCCUUCCAAGCCCGGGGUGGGGGUUCGAGCCCCUCCUGCCGCGCCA